GGGGGGAGAACAACAGGGAUUGCCUCAGUAACGGCGAGUGAAGCGGCAACAGCUCAAAUUUGAAAUCUGGCUCCUUCGGGGCCCGAGUUGUAAUUUGCAGAGGAUGCGUCGGGUACGGGUGCCUUCCGAGUUCCCUGGAACGGGACGCCAUAGAGGGUGAGAGCCCCGUCUGGUAGGAUACCCAGCCCGUGUGACGCUCCCUCGACGAGUCGAGUAGUUUGGGAAUGCUGCUCUAACGGGAGGUAUACUCCUUCCAAGGCUAAAUACCGGCUGGAGACCGAUAGCGCACAAGUAGAGUGAUCGAAAGAUGAAAAGCACUUUGAAAAGAGAGUCAAACAGCACGUGAAAUUGUUAAAAGGGAAGCGCUCGCUACCAGACUUGGGUUCGGCGGUUCAACCGGGGCCACGCCCCGGGGCAUUCCGCCGGCCCAGGCCAGCAUCAGCUUUCCGUCGGGGGUAAAGGCGUCGGGAAUGUGGCUCCCCUUCGGGGGAGUGUUAUAGCCCGUCGUGUCAUACCCUUCGGGGGGCUGAGGUACGCGCUUCUGCAAGGAUGCUGGCGUAAUGGUAGCUAGUGACCCGUCUUGAAACACGGACCAAGGAGUCAACCUUAUGUGCGAGUGCCCGGGCGUAAAACCCCAGCGCGGAAUGAAAGUGAACGUAGGUGAGAGCUUCGGCGCAUCACCGACCGAUCCUGAUGUCCUCGGACGGAUUUGAGUGAGAGCAUAUAGGGUUGGACCCGAAAGAAGAUGAACUAUGCGUGUGUAGGGUGAAGCCAGAGGAACUCUGGUGGAGGCUCGCAGCGGUUCUGACGUGCAAAUCGAUCGUCAAACAUGCGCAUGGGGGCGAAAGACUAAUCGAAUCUUCUGGUAGCUGGUUUCCGCGAGCUCUCUCCCCGGCGAGAGAGUAA
Molecule: ribosomal RNA, 906 nt
Filed under: Plectosphaerella cucumerina
Lineage: Eukaryota; Fungi; Ascomycota; Sordariomycetes; Glomerellales; Plectosphaerellaceae
Description: partial large subunit ribosomal RNA
Rfam family: Eukaryotic large subunit ribosomal RNA
Source: RNAcentral